RNAcentral lists this ribosomal RNA (474 nucleotides) under uncultured bacterium. Its description in RNAcentral is "bacterial SSU rRNA". It matches the Rfam family "Bacterial small subunit ribosomal RNA", at positions 34 to 507 of the family's 1533-position model. The record is from RNAcentral.
CGCUGGCGGCGUGCCUAACACAUGCAAGUCAACUUGACUGAAGGAGCAAUCUGACAGUAGAGUGGACGCAAGGGUGCGUAACGCGUAAGUAACUUGCCCAAGGUAAGGAAUAACGUCGAGAAAUCGGCGCUAAUACCUCAUAAUGCAGCGGAUCCGCAUGGAUAUGUUGUUAAAGGUUUACCGCCUUGGGAUAGGCUUGCGUCUGAUUAGCUAGUUGGUGUGGUAACGGCACACCAAGGCUACGAUCAGUAACUGGUCUGAGAGGAUGAUCAGUCACACUGGAACUGAGACACGGUCCAGACUCCUACGGGAGGCAGCAGUGAGGAAUAUUGGGCAAUGCUCGAAAGAGUGACCCAGCAACGCCGCGUGGAGGAUGAAGGUAUUCUAUAUCGUAAACUCCUGUGAGAGCAGACGAAAGACAGAUUAUUAAUCUGGAUGACUGUAUGCUCAGAGGAAGCCCCGGCUAACUACGUG